GACAGAGGGGGCAAGCGUUGCUCGGAAUCACUGGGCGUAAAGGGCGCGUAGGCGGGAUGGCAAGUCAGUCGUGAAAUCUCUCGGCUCAACCGAGAAACGUCGGCUGAUACUGCCGUUCUUGAGGGAUGCAGAGGAGACUGGAAUUCCCGGUGUAGCGGUGAAAUGUGUAGAGAUCGGGAGGAACACCGGUGGCGAAGGCGGGUCUCUGGGACGGUACUGACGCUGAGACGCGAAAGCGUGGGGAGCGAACAGG
RNAcentral lists this ribosomal RNA (253 nucleotides) under uncultured bacterium. RNAcentral's name for it is "partial 16S ribosomal RNA". It matches the Rfam family "Bacterial small subunit ribosomal RNA", at positions 524 to 776 of the family's 1533-position model. The record is from RNAcentral.